Molecule: transfer RNA, 62 nt
Filed under: Pseudochauhanea macrorchis
Lineage: Eukaryota; Metazoa; Platyhelminthes; Monogenea; Mazocraeidea; Chauhaneidae
Description: tRNA-Gln
Source: RNAcentral
AAUAGUAAGGUGUUGUAUGCAUUUUGUCUUUUGGUGACAAAGGAGAGUUGUUUCUGCUAUUU